Molecule: long non-coding RNA, 902 nt
Organism: Pantherophis guttatus
Lineage: Eukaryota; Metazoa; Chordata; Lepidosauria; Squamata; Colubridae
Source: RefSeq, a predicted model, not a curated record
AGACAUAUGGCUUAACUUCCACCUGUGAUGAAAGAAGAAGAGAAAAUGUACACAUUUCUUAAGUUUGGCCUUGUUAGACAAAAGUGUAGUCCAGGUGUGUGUGUUUUUACUCUUCAUAUAUUUCUACCAUCCAACUAUAGAUACUACAGAUACCUCAGUGAACACUCUCCUGCGCAGUAAAAAGAGCUUUGCUGGAUCAGACUGUACAUGGAACUAGCUAAGGAUUUUUUUCCCUAGGACUGGCUGAACAAGCAAAACAGAAAAGCAGUAGCUUUCCUCUGUUGUAUGGUCUCCAUCAAAAGAUGUAUUAAAUACUGCACAAAGAUCCUGACAGGCUGGCUUCACCCUUCAGCUGGGUCCAGCUCACUGGACAAUCGUAUACCAAUCAUUAUCACGCAAAUGUGAAAAGAAUAAAAUUGGGGUCUAGAACAUAUCGCCUGUUCGGAGUCCGUGUGGAGAACGCAAGAAAAAACCGCCUCAGGAAAUUACAUUUCUUUUGAACGAAACAUAUUUACCAUACGUGAAGAUAUCAGAGUUCCAGAGGCACAUGUGGACCACAGAAUCAGAAAAAUGACCCCAAAUCAGAAAAAUUGGAAAGUGCAACUUAUUCCUACCAUUUCAUCAUUAGAAGGUAGGAGAAUUGAACCAAAUUCAUUUGCUAUUUAAAAUAAAUUUCAAAAGAUAUUCUGUAUCAAAUUGUUAAAAUUUAACUGCCAAUGCAUAAAUAAACCAGUUAAUUAAUCCUGACUCCAUUUACACACCAUGUGAAUAAAUGCUUUGGCUAUAAAUGUGAUUUAACAACUGUGUAUGUAUGUACUGUAUGUAUACAUGUCUAUACAUGUAAAAUAUCUGUAACUGUUAAAGUAUGGAUGUCCACAGAUAAAUUCUGAAUUUUAAGAAGA